UACGUAGGGCGCGAGCGUUGUCCGGAAUUAUUGGGCGUAAAGAGCUCGUAGGUGGCUUGUCGCGUCUGCCGUGAAAGCCCGUGGCUUAACUGCGGGUCUGCGGUGGAUACGGGCAGGCUAGAGGCUGGUAGGGGCAAGUGGAAUUCCUGGUGUAGCGGUGAAAUGCGCAGAUAUCAGGAGGAACACCGGUGGCGAAGGCGGCUUGCUGGGCCAGUUCUGACGCUGAGGAGCGAAAGCGUGGGGAGCGAACAGG
This 253-nucleotide ribosomal RNA is filed under the name uncultured prokaryote. RNAcentral's name for it is "partial 16S ribosomal RNA". It matches the Rfam family "Bacterial small subunit ribosomal RNA", at positions 524 to 776 of the family's 1533-position model. The record is from RNAcentral.